ACUUGGAUAUCUUAAUUAUAAAGUUUAACUCUGAAGUAGUUAAUAUAGGUUUUAUGCCUUCCAGGUA
Molecule: transfer RNA, 67 nt
Filed under: Eocanthecona furcellata
Lineage: Eukaryota; Metazoa; Arthropoda; Insecta; Hemiptera; Pentatomidae
Description: tRNA-Phe
Source: RNAcentral